RNAcentral lists this ribosomal RNA (564 nucleotides) under Trichoderma reesei. Its description in RNAcentral is "LSU rRNA". It matches the Rfam family "Eukaryotic large subunit ribosomal RNA", at positions 62 to 648 of the family's 3401-position model. The record is from RNAcentral. Lineage: Eukaryota; Fungi; Ascomycota; Sordariomycetes; Hypocreales; Hypocreaceae.
AAACCAACAGGGAUUGCCCCAGUAACGGCGAGUGAAGCGGCAACAGCUCAAAUUUGAAAUCUGGCCCUUUCGGGUCCGAGUUGUAAUUUGUAGAGGAUGCUUUUGGCAAGGCGCCGCCCGAGUUCCCUGGAACGGGACGCCACAGAGGGUGAGAGCCCCGUCUGGCUGGCCGCCGAGCCUCUGUAAAGCUCCUUCGACGAGUCGAGUAGUUUGGGAAUGCUGCUCAAAAUGGGAGGUAUAUGUCUUCUAAAGCUAAAUAUUGGCCAGAGACCGAUAGCGCACAAGUAGAGUGAUCGAAAGAUGAAAAGCACCUUGAAAAGAGGGUUAAAUAGUACGUGAAAUUGUUGAAAGGGAAGCGCUUGUGACCAGACUUGGGCGCGGCGGAUCAUCCGGGGUUCUCCCCGGUGCACUUCGCCGUGUCCAGGCCAGCAUCAGUUCGUCGCGGGGGAAAAAGGCUUCGGGAACGUGGCUCCCCUGGGAGUGUUAUAGCCCGUUGCAUAAUACCCUGCGGUGGACUGAGGACCGCGCAUCUGCAAGGAUGCUGGCGUAAUGGUCACCAGCGAC